GCAGAAUUCCAGUUCCGAAAAUCCUGUUGCUGACAACCUCAGCUGAGGGAGUCAUGGGGUGUCAAACCUGGGCUUCAAAGCUUUGAAAUUUUAUGAAACAAAACAAACAUGUAGGCAUUCUUUGCAACUUUGAGUGUUGUCUUGAAAGAUAAACUUUCAUCAUCCCUGUGCCUGUUAUUAAUGGGUCUCUCUAUCUCCCUCAAGGUGAGAAAUGACCGUCUCCAUCAAUCGUCGCUUUUCCUGGAUCUCCUCAUAGACAGGCUGCCAGCUGUUUUGUUCAUGACUGCUCAUAGGAGGCCCUUGACAAAGGUAAGUUGCCUGAAUGAACGACUACUGUGUACAGGUGAGUACAGGUAUUAACUUUCUAUUCCUGACGGCAUUUUACAGAGGAGGGGCUGGAAGUAUCCUAAGUGUCAGAGCUGGGAUUUGAACCCAGGGUGGACGUCUUCUACUGGCAAGUGUUUCUCUGAUUUCCCUCUUCGCCUGGAGUAUGCACGUCUAGAAUGGCCCGGAAGUGAGUUCAUCCAUCCUGCACCCCUGGUCAGGUGCUUCCCACCUCCCUGGCCCAGGGCCUCAAGGUCCCCGUGUUCGCGUCUCAGGUGUGCCAGCUCUGCCGCGGUCCCAGGCCCUGGGAACGGGUUGGCUUGCGG
Molecule: long non-coding RNA, 650 nt
Filed under: Sus scrofa (pig)
Lineage: Eukaryota; Metazoa; Chordata; Mammalia; Artiodactyla; Suidae
Description: lncRNA (ENSSSCG00040021343.1)
Source: RNAcentral